UACGGGAGGCAGCAGUGGGGAAUAUUGCACAAUGGGCGAAAGCCUGAUGCAGCUAUGCCGCGUGUAUGAAGAAGGCCUUAGGGUUGUAAAGUACUUUCAUCGGGGAGGAAAAAACAAAACUAAUAAUUUUAUUUCUUGACGUUACCCGAAAAAGAAGCACCGGCUAACUCCGUGCCAGCAGCCGCAGUAAUACGGAGGGUGCUAGCGUUAAUCAGAAUUACUGGGCGUAAAGAGCACGUAGGUGGUUUUUUUAAGUCAGAUGUGAAAUCCCUGGGCUUAACCUAGGAACUGCAUUUUGAAACUGAAAUACUAGAGUAUCGUAGAGGGAGGUAGAAUUCUAGGUGUAGCGGUGAAAUGCGUAGAUAUCUGGAGGAAUACCUGUGGCGAAAGCGGCCUCCUAAACGAAUACUGACACUGAGGUGCGAAAGCGUGGGGAGCAAACGAGGAUUAGAUACC
This 456-nucleotide ribosomal RNA is filed under the name uncultured bacterium. RNAcentral describes it as "bacterial SSU rRNA". It matches the Rfam family "Bacterial small subunit ribosomal RNA", at positions 340 to 786 of the family's 1533-position model. The record is from RNAcentral.